RNAcentral lists this ribosomal RNA (251 nucleotides) under uncultured archaeon. RNAcentral describes it as "partial 16S ribosomal RNA". It matches the Rfam family "Archaeal small subunit ribosomal RNA", at positions 748 to 995 of the family's 1478-position model. The record is from RNAcentral.
CAGCCCUAAACGAUGCGCGUUAGGUGUAUCGGUGACCACGAGUCACCGAGGUGCCGAAGGGAAACCGUGAAACGUGCCGCCUGGGAAGUACGGUCGCAAGGCUGAAACUUAAAGGAAUUGGCGGGGGAGCACCACAACGGGUGGGAGCCUGCGGUUUAAAUUGGACUCAACGCCGGGAAGCUCACCGGAUAAGACAGCGGAAUGAUUGCCGGGCUGAAAGACCCUGCAUGACCAGCUGAGAGGUGGUGCAU